Acanthosepion pharaonis is the source of this 99-nucleotide non-coding RNA. The record is from the annotation of a GenBank genome assembly. NCBI's taxonomy places the organism in Eukaryota, Metazoa, Mollusca, Cephalopoda, Sepiida, Sepiidae.
AUUGAACCACCGGUUUCCGUACGAUUAUCGAAGUUAGGCAACGUCGAGCUUGCUCAGUACCGAGAUAGGUGACCGCUUGAGAAUACUAAGUGCUGUAAG